UAAAAACGAGCGAAUCUUGAAUUACAACAUCAAAAUAAACCUUUUGAACCAAAGCACAACAAACAUGAACAUGUUAACAAGAGAAAUUGUAACACAAAUCAUCUACCCUCUAAUAAUCUCUCUCCAUUAAAACUAAACUAAACACAAACCACAUCCAAAGUACAGCAUAGAGAGCUGAACCAUUUUAUUUUCAUAUUUCACUAAAUUUUACUCUAUGCACCAAACACCAUUGUUUAUGCCCCCUCAUGAAGCAACAUCUGAUCAAAGUGCCAAACUCCGUGUCCCUUGCCUACUCUUCUUAGCUGAGCAACAUACUCUGAGAUUUUCUUGAUUGCUUCUAUCUGCUCUCCCAAAAAUUCGCUUUCGAUAAACUCGGUCAUCUGCACGUCGUGAUUCUCUUCAGCCACCUUGUGCAAGUGGAGUAACUUUUCAUUUGUUAGCUUCUCAAGGGACAAAGCAAGCUCCAUUGCAUAUAAGGCAUCUCCCUUUUGCUCAUUGUCAUACUCACACAAAGGCUUAAUCAAACACUCCAGUGUCACUCGUCCACCACGUUUGUUCUGAUAUUCCAUCAAUUUCUCAGCGUGAUCCCUCUCUUCUUCCCAAUUCCUGAUAAUUCUUGGAG
This 622-nucleotide unclassified non-coding RNA is filed under the name Hevea brasiliensis (rubber tree). The record is from RNAcentral. Lineage: Eukaryota; Viridiplantae; Streptophyta; Magnoliopsida; Malpighiales; Euphorbiaceae.